UAUCAGACGAGCACUGUUCGCGUGCACGCGCGUUUAAGUGAAAUCCUGGUGUGUGAUACUCGGCCUCAAAACAUGGAUUGCGUGCCCAACGAAAUAGGACAAAUGGAAGGGGAAAUAUAAAUAAUUGUGACGUCUUAACAUUCGGGAAGCAAGUGAAUUCGUUCUUAAAUGGCCUCAUCCCCCGGAGAGGGAGACAAGGGGAGCGUCGCGUGGAGACACCUCGGCACAGCCUCGGAGCUUUCCGCCAGGAAAUGCCGACUCGUGUACUCCUCCGUCGGCCGGAAGUCGGACGUGUGCCUCUUCUUCGUCAAGGGCGAGUUCUUCGCCAUGGAUGCCCGAUGUCCACACUCCGGAGGUCCACUCUGCGAGGGGGACAUCGAGGAGGCUGAUGGGAUCCUGCGGGUCUUUUGUCCGUGGCACGACUACGACUUUGACCUCCGGACCGGGAAAUCUGGGACCUCUUUGAAGCAACAAGUGCACGAAGUCAAGGUGGAGGAUGGUGACGUUUACAUCAAGCACGCAAGUUUUCUCUCCCUGCAGCCGUUUCCUGCCCAUCACAAGAGCUGAGCUUCAACCUUCCAUCCGCUAGGCUGCAACGCCAAGUUACUGAUUACGCCACAUCUUGCCGGUAGCGAGCACAUUCAAGCUAUUGUUGGAAUCAAUCAUUGAUCCAUCAAUGAACCCAUCGUGCCGGUAACUUGUUCGUUGGGUCGUGAUGGCGAAGGUCUCAGAUGGCAGCAGAGACGGACAGACACCCAGCUGGUCAGUUUUAGGCGUACCCUGUCGGUGCACCUGUGUGGCGAGCACAUCGGGACGCAGCAGUUCGGGUGCAGCCAGCGAUGAAGAAUGGCAUGGCCAACAACAGCCACUUUUUGUCCAAAGGCAUCCACUUCCUGUUCGGUUCCCAAUAACAGCAGCUAGAAUAAACUCAAACGCAACACUUGUGAGGCUUGUAGGUGUGACGUUGUUGAACCCGUAAACUGAUUGGCUACCAUUGACGAUGCUAGACAUCCAAUCCUUUUGGAGUGGGAGGGCCGACAGUGAUUGAAUUAAUGUGAUAAUAUUCAUAAUUGAAAGACUUAAAUGCUAAUUUUCACAUUUUUAACAUGAUGAGUGUCACGUUUUACCAUGUUUCAUGUUGAAACAUUUUCACAGUGUAAUUUUCAUAUUUGAAAUGUGAUACCUUUUAAAUAACUUGAUACAUUUAAUCAAUAAUUUUCAAGUUUAUGUCAGUUUGUUUGUUUCAUAUUUUAGUGUCAAAUGUUUGAUGGUUUAUGUUGAAAAUUUCUACACUUAAGCCGAGAUGGGUACUAACGCGUUACAUGUACUCCGUUACAUUUACUUAACUUUUUGACGCGUUACAUGUACUCCGUUACAGUUACUUUUUGAGAAAAAUGCACUACUAAGAGUAGUUUUACGAAGCCAUACUUUUUACUUUUACUUGAGUAGAUUUGUGAAGAAAAAACGCUACUCUUACUCCGCUACUUUGGGCUACACAAGAAUCUUUACAUUUUUCAUCUUUAUUCUACAUAUUUGAUUUAUUAUUAUUAUUUUUGGCAGCGAUGCCAUUGAGAAUAGCAUUACUAAUUUCACCAAUGCGACUCGCAACAAUAAUCACAAAACUCCUUUAAACCAAUCAGACGCAAGCUUGCCGUUCUAUGAUCACGCCAGCCUAUUCAAUCACAUGUCGUCUUUAAAGUCGGGCUGUCAAACCAUUAAAAUUUUUAAUCGAGUUAAUUACAGCUUAAAAAUUAAUUAAUCGUAAUUAAUCGCAAUUCAAACCCUCUAUAAAAUAUGCCAUAUUUUUCUGUAAAUUAUUGUUGGAACGGAAAGAUAAGACACAAGACGGAUAUAUAUAUUCAAUAUUCGGUACAUAAGUACUGUAUUUGUUUAUUAUAACAAUUAAUCAACAAGAUGGCAUUAACAUUAUUAACAUUCAGUUAAAGCUAUCCAUGGAUAGGAAGACUUGUAGUUCUUAAAAGAUAAAUGUUAGUACAAGUUAUAGAACUUUUAUAUUAAAAUCCCUCUUAAUGUUUUCGUUUUAAUAAAAUUUGUAAAAUUUUCAAUCAAAAAUAAACUAGUAGCUCGCCAUUGUUGAUGUCAAUAAUUACAUAAUGCUCGUUCAUAGUGCUGAAAGCCACAGUCGCACCCAAGCGCCAGCAGAGGGUGAAAAAACGCCCAAAAACACAAGUAACAAGUGCACAUUACACUGUUCUGUCAUUUUAAUCUGUUUGAGCGGGGCAUGUGCGUUAAUUGCGUCAAAUAUUUUAACAUGAUUAAUUAAAAAAAUUAUUUAACGCCCGUUAACGCGAUAAUUUUGACAGCCCUACUUUAAAGCACUGUAAAAAAUGAAGUAUUUGACAUACUGUAGAGCGCUGCCGUCGACGUGACUCAAAAGUGCAGAUUAAAACCUCUCUCCCAGUUUUUAUUUGGCACCGAUUCAACACGAAAAACCGGAGAUAUGAUCCUUUUCAUUUCCUAAUAGUAUCUAUGAAGAAAAUACAGUUCAGUAUUCACUAUUCAAACUAGGAACAAUUUUCUUCACUAGAGGGCAUUCAUUCUAUUUUUUUCUCUUGCCAGAAUUCAAUGAUUUAUUUAUUUAUUUAUUUUUUUAAAUUAUUUCUUUGAUUAUGUACUGAGUAAUUACCAGUGUUGUCAAACUUACUUCAAAAAAGUAAUUAAUGACAGUUGCAAAUUACUUCUCCCAAAAGUACUUGAGUUAGUAACUCAGUUAACUGAAUGUAAGAGUAAUUAGUUACUUGGCAAAGUAACUGGUGUUACGUUUCAUGUUUUUUUUUUUUUUUUAAUUCCCCCCCAAAAAAAAAAACGUUUGGAAGUCAUUUAAUGUUUUGAAUCAACCGUUAAUGUUGUUAAAAUUCCAGUUGUUAUUACAUUAGUUCCCUUCUGUCUA
Molecule: RNA transcript, 2911 nt
Organism: Corythoichthys intestinalis (scribbled pipefish)
Lineage: Eukaryota; Metazoa; Chordata; Actinopteri; Syngnathiformes; Syngnathidae
Exons: 4
Source: RefSeq, a predicted model, not a curated record